RNAcentral lists this long non-coding RNA (216 nucleotides) under Elaeis guineensis (African oil palm). RNAcentral describes it as "long non-coding RNA (EGUI_LNC066341)". The record is from RNAcentral. Lineage: Eukaryota; Viridiplantae; Streptophyta; Magnoliopsida; Arecales; Arecaceae.
UCCGGACUCCUACGGGAGCCGGACUUCAUCCCUGACUUCAGCAGCAGGAAGACUUCGUCCGGACUCCUACGGGAGACGGAUUUCGUCUCCGACUCCAACUACAAGAAGACUUCGUCUGGACUCCUACGAGAGCCGGACUUCAUCCCCGACUCCGGUUGCAGAAAGCCUUCGUCCGGACUCCUACGGGAGUCGGACUUCAUCCCCGACUUCAGCAGC